CCUACGGGAGACAGCAGUGAGGAAUAUUGGUCAAUGGACGCAAGUCUGAACCAGCCAUGCCGCGUGCAGGAAGACGGCUCUAUGAGUUGUAAACUGCUUUUGUACGAGGGUAAACGCAGAUACGUGUAUCUGUCUGAAAGUAUCGUACGAAUAAGGAUCGGCUAACUCCGUGCCAGCAGCCGCGGUAAUACGGAGGAUUCAAGCGUUAUCCGGAUUUAUUGGGUUUAAAGGGUGCGUAGGCGGUCGGAUAAGUUAGAGGUGAAAUCCCGAGGCUCAACUUCGGAAUUGCCUUUGAUACUGGUCGGAUUGAGAAUAGUUGCGGGAGGCCGAAUGUAUGGUG
Molecule: ribosomal RNA, 340 nt
Filed under: uncultured bacterium
Lineage: Bacteria
Description: partial 16S ribosomal RNA
Rfam family: Bacterial small subunit ribosomal RNA
Source: RNAcentral